Long non-coding RNA from Folsomia candida, 1587 nucleotides. RefSeq lists it as uncharacterized. Lineage: Eukaryota; Metazoa; Arthropoda; Collembola; Entomobryomorpha; Isotomidae. The transcript is spliced from 4 exons. The record is from RefSeq and is a predicted model, not a curated record.
CGAGUCACUUGGCCAUGCACUUCUCUUCAUACUUUAACACUUACUAAGCUCCACGAUGCAUCUGCGACCAUAACGUGAUUUCUAUUUUAAUUUUCAACGAUUAGAAAACCUGUACGUAUACUUAAAAACUUCCGCGCAAUUGGAUCCCGAUAGAUGGAUAAGAAAGGAUUGAAAAAGUGGCAAUGUCCCAAGUGCCCGAAAACGAUAACAAGAAAGUCGAACCUGGCUAAUCAUCUUGCCACGCACGAUCCCGAUGCGAAAGUGAAAUGCCAGAUUUGUCGGAAAAUUUUAAAAAAUCCACCCACCUUAACCGUUCACAUGUGGAGUGCUCACACCAACCGGGAACGACCCAGGUGCCAAUUCCCACAACUUAAAGGAACAUGUUAAAGCCAUGCAUGGUACGAUGAGGAAACGGCCCCGUAUUUCGUGUACGUUUCCCGGCUGUGGAAAGACCUAUCAAAACAAGCGUAGUCUUUUGCAACACGUGAAAACUGAACAUGCCGAAAAUCCGGUCCGAUAUCGGUGCACAUUUUGCGGAAAGGAGUUCAAAAUGAGGCCUGUUCUUGAGCGACACAUUUCUACCCACACGACCGAGAAGCCAUACAAGUGUGCCACUUGUGGCAUGCGAUUCGCUCGAAGGGAGACAUAAAAGAUCACGAGUAGUCCCGGAAUGCUCAGAAAUUCAAUUUUCACAAGUAUUCAAGACUAACUCCAUCAGCGGCAACACUACCAAGAUGAAUAUUCAUUUUACAGGUGACGCAUUUGGACAAAUCUGCCCGACACGUGUUGCAUUGUCACAUUUGUCCUCAUGCCUUCCUGGGUAAACGCUGCCUACAACGUCACAUCCGAGUUGGGCAUGAAAAUCAGAGGAACUUUUCGUGCGCAUUUUGUGACGCGAAAUUCUUCUGGCUGGGGAAUUUGCAGCGCCACGUGGAGACGAAGCAUGCCACGAAUAAAGAGCUCAAGAUCCAUUCCUGCGACAAGUGCGAGUACAAGAGCCACUCGAAAGAAAAUUUGGCCUCGCACAAGAGACGCCACAAGGCUGCAAGUAAGGAAUGUUACUUUUGUGGGAAGAAAUAUGUCUUGUUUCAAGAUUUGGUGCAACAUUGCAGGCGCACGCAUACCUUGGAAAAGUAGAAUUAUGUUUUCAGAUUAGUAGUUAAAAUUUUGAAGUGAUAUAUACUGUUUGAUUUGUUCGGACUCCUUAAAACGAGGAUAGAGUUUUACAAGGGGAAUAGCCAAGGUGUACAGCUCCCCUAAUGGAUAAAUCCGUGAUUACAUUAGCCGAAUCAGCCGAAUUACUUUAUUAUUUAACACCAGUUAUUUUUGGUUUGGCGUAGAAGUUAUUCUAUUUAUGUAGUAUGAUUUUUACGCCAAAAUAAAAAUGUGUUAAGCAAUAUAAUAAUUCGGCUGAAUCGGCUAACAUGUAGUCGCGGCUUUGUCCAGUUGGGGAGGAGCAGCUGUACACCUUGGCCAAUUCCCUUGUAAAACUCUAUCCUCGUUUUGUGCAGUCCAAACAAAUCAAACAGUAUAAAUAUACGACAAUUUAGAUGUUAAAUUUAUUUCAAAAUUUAUUUCAAAAUUUAA